GAAAAAGCAGAUCUCAGGUUGGGUUUUCAGCAAAAGCUAUCCAUUGGGAUCCACCUGUUCUUGUAAUUGGCCAAUGAGAAAACGUGAAUUUUCUUUAAGGACGAUAGGCGUGGAAAAACUGCAAUACGAACCACAACGACUUUAAUUAAACGAAAGGACGAUAGGUCUCUCCUUCUAGGCUUCGGCAUAUUUUGAUUCAUCUUUCUUCUUGCAGAUGAUAUCUUCAGUUCAAUCCUUCUCGUGCAUGUUUUUGAGGUAUGUCUUAUAGCAAAAGGAGUAAAAAUUAUCAAACCAUUCAUUGCUUAAGACAUAUAACUGAGAAUAGGAGAUUGUUCACCUCAUUAAAUAUCAAGGAUGAAAGAAAAAUUCAUGUCGGUUGCAACUCCAAAAUGAAGAAGAUUUAAGCAUUAAAUCAAAUCAAAUAAUUCUUCAUUCAACAAAAGAGUUUGGGAUAAUCAACCUAUCUCAAUGAAGUGCCUAAUGUUUCUCAAAUUAAGAAGCAUGUGCUUUUGAUUGAAAUAUGAAUUGAUUAAUUUUAUAAAUGUGUUUAUGAAAUUCAAAAUGGUAAAUUUGUUGCAUUAGAUAAUUGUUUGAUUGUUGGUGUUUAUGAAAAUGUUUAUAUGCACACUGAUACAUAUAAUCUAAUGCAUAGCGCAAAUCCGAACCAAAUCAAUUUGAACUUGUGUUUGAAAUUGAUUGAAAGUUGGUAUACAUAAAAUUUCCUAAGGAAAGAUGAAGAUGUCAAAGGUUUGUAUCCAAAUUUUGGAGGUCUAUGUCGCUCCUGUUGGUGGUUGGUGCGGUGCUGCCUUAGGUUAGUUUUAUCCUCCUUGAACAUGUGGGUUUUGGAAGUGGCUGGACGGUUUUGUCUAAUUGUGGUGUUGCAAUGAUUAAAAUAACUGUUAGAUCUAUAUUGCUGCAUUGAUUAAAAUAUAAUGGUGCAUGACGUGUGACGCAUAUAAAUCUAUAGAAUGAGUUGUGUGUUAUUCUUGGUAGCAAGCUUUGUUCUGGAGUCGAAAUUACCGGUUUUGUUUAUGUUCCUGUUGGGUUUGGUUGGUAAGGUGGAGGAUGCCUAGGUGGAUUUAAUGUUAUAUAUGGCUGGUCUUGGAGAAGGCUACUUAUGAGAAGCUAGGAAGUGUUUUCUCAUAAUGACUGCUGCCUUGGUAUGCCGUGCAUGGAUAUCUUCUCUGUCUUGCCUUGAUCGCCAUAUCCCGUUAAGGUACUUUGUCCUCGCCUGGUUCCGCCUUGGAGGCUGGUUCGGUUUGGAAUUAUCGGAACACAUGAACUUAGCUUUUAUAUAUGUAAUGUUAGCUGCUGGAUUAAUUGUUAGGCAGCAUGAUUCUCAGUCCUUGUGUUUGUUUAAUAUAAUACAAGGGUGAGACUGUACAUGUUUUCGCUUCCUUGAACUCUCUCUUGCCAUAAAAUCAGAUAGAAAUACUAGAAGUUCUUGGGUCCUAUUUUUAAGGUUUAUUUCAAUUAGAAGACUCAAGAUGUAUCUUUUUGUA
Mangifera indica (mango) is the source of this 1502-nucleotide long non-coding RNA. RefSeq lists it as uncharacterized. The transcript is spliced from 2 exons. NCBI's taxonomy places the organism in Eukaryota, Viridiplantae, Streptophyta, Magnoliopsida, Sapindales, Anacardiaceae. The record is from RefSeq and is a predicted model, not a curated record.